GGCUCAGAACGAACGCUGGCGGCGCGUUUAAGCAUGCAAGUCGAGCGGCAAGGGCCUUCGGGCCCCUAGAGCGGCGGACGGGUGAGUAACACGUGGACAAUCUGCCCCCCGGCCCGGGAUAGCCCAGGGAAACCUGGAUUAAUACCGGAUGAGACGGGACCCGCGAUGGCGGGACCCGGGAAAGGCGCUGCGGCGCCGCCGGGGGACGAGUCUGCGUCCCAUUAGCUAGACGGCGGGGUAACGGCCCACCGUGGCGACGAUGGGUAGCCGGCCUGAGAGGGUGGACGGCCACAUUGGAACUGAGACACGGUCCAGACUCCUACGGGAGGCAGCAGCUAAGAAUCUUCCGCAAUGGGCGAAAGCCUGACGGAAGCGACGCCGCGUGAACGAAGAAGGCCGUGAGGUUGUAAAGUUCUUUUCGGGAGGGGGAACAACCGUGGCAGGGAAUGGCCGCGGGAUGACGUGAAUCCCGGAAUAAGCCCCGGCUAACUACGUGCCAGCCGCCGC
This 507-nucleotide ribosomal RNA is filed under the name uncultured bacterium. RNAcentral's name for it is "bacterial SSU rRNA". It matches the Rfam family "Bacterial small subunit ribosomal RNA", at positions 21 to 518 of the family's 1533-position model. The record is from RNAcentral.